RNAcentral lists this ribosomal RNA (497 nucleotides) under uncultured bacterium. Its description in RNAcentral is "partial 16S ribosomal RNA". It matches the Rfam family "Bacterial small subunit ribosomal RNA", at positions 28 to 507 of the family's 1533-position model. The record is from RNAcentral.
GAUGAACGCUGGCGGCGUGCCUAAUACAUGCAAGUCGAGCGAACGGACGAGAAGCUUGCUUUUCUGAUGUUAGCGGCGGACGGGUGAGUAACACGUGGAUAACCUACCUAUAAGACUGGGAUAACUUCGGGAAACCGGAGCUAAUACCGGAUAAUAUUUUGAACCGCAUGGUUCAAAAGUGAAAGACGGUCUUGCUGUCACUUAUAGAUGGAUCCGCGCUGCAUUAGCUAGUUGGUAAGGUAACGGCUUACCAAGGCAACGAUGCAUAGCCGACCUGAGAGGGGGAUCGGCCACACUGGAACUGAGACACGGUCCAGACUCCUACGGGAGGCAGCAGUAGGGAAUCUUCCGCAAUGGGCGAAAGCCUGACGGAGCAACGCCGCGUGAGUGAUGAAGGUCUUCGGAUCGUAAAACUCUGUUAUUAGGGAAGAACAUAUGUGUAAGUAACUGUGCACAUCUUGACGGUACCUAAUCAGAAAGCCACGGCUAGCUACGUG